Molecule: ribosomal RNA, 429 nt
Filed under: Chloroflexota bacterium
Lineage: Bacteria; Bacillati; Chloroflexota
Description: Chloroflexi bacterium partial 16S ribosomal RNA
Rfam family: Bacterial small subunit ribosomal RNA
Source: RNAcentral
UGGGGAAUAUUGCACAAUGGGCGCAAGCCUGAUGCAGCCAUGCCGCGUGUGUGAAGAAGGCCUUCGGGUUGUAAAGCACUUUCAGCGGGGAGGAAGGCGGUGAGGUUAAUAACCUCAUCGAUUGACGUUACCCGCAGAAGAAGCACCGGCUAACUCCGUGCCAGCAGCCGCGGUAAUACGGAGGGUGCAAGCGUUAAUCGGAAUUACUGGGCGUAAAGCGCACGCAGGCGGUUUGUUAAGUCAGAUGUGAAAUCCUCGGGCUCAACCUGGGAACUGCAUCUGAUAAUGGCAAGCUUGAGUCUCGUAGAGGGGGGUAGAAUUCCAGGUGUAGCGGUGAAAUGCGUAGAGAUCUGGAGGAAUACCGGUGGCGAAGGCGGCCCCCUGGACAAAGACAGACGCUCAGGUGCGAAAGCGUGGGGAGCAAACAGG